This 391-nucleotide unclassified non-coding RNA is filed under the name soil metagenome. RNAcentral describes it as "partial contains 5.8S ribosomal RNA, internal transcribed spacer 2, and large subunit ribosomal RNA". The stretch from base 1 to 122 matches the Rfam family "5.8S ribosomal RNA", at positions 35 to 154 of the family's 154-position model. The record is from RNAcentral.
GAUGAAGAACGCAGCGAAAUGCGAUACUUGGUGUGAAUUGCAGAAUCCCGUGAACCAUCGAGUCUUUGAACGCAAGUUGCGCCCGAAGCCAUUAGGCCGAGGGCACGCCUGCCAGGGCGUCACACGUCGUUGCCCCCCCAUCUACUCCUUCGGGAUUGCGGGGGGCGGAUGAUGGCCUCUCGUGCGCCUCGUCGCGCGGUUGGCCUAAAUGCCAAGUCCUCGGCGACGCACGCCACGACAAUCGGUGGUUGCGAAACCUCGGUUGCCUGUCGUGUGCGGUCGUCGCGCAUCGAGGGCUCGAAAAAAUUGCCGGGCUUCGGCUCGACUUUCAACGCGACCCCAGGUCAGGCGGGGUUACCCGCUGAAUUUAAGCAUAUCAAUAAGCGGAGGA